GUGCAGGGGAUGCUCAUCGUUUACUGUGAAAAAAUUAGAGUGUUCAAAGCAGGCUUACGCCUUGAAUAUAUUAGCAUGGAAUAAUAAGAUAGGACCUGGGUACUAUUUUGUUGGUUUGCGCACCGAGGUAAUGAUUAAUAGGGACAGUUGGGGGUAUUCGUAUUCCAUUGUCAGAGGUGAAAUUCUUGGAUUUUUGGAAGACGAACUACUGCGAAAGCAUUUACCAAGGAUGUUUUCAUUAAUCAAGAACGAAAGUAUGGGGAUCGAAGAUGAUUAGAUACCAUCGUAGUCUUAACCAUAAACUAUGCCGACAAGGGAUUGGCGGUUGUUCGUUUUGACUCCGUCAGCACCUUAUGAGAAAUCACAAGUCUUUGGGUUCCGGGGGGAGUAUGGCC
RNAcentral lists this ribosomal RNA (395 nucleotides) under Amphidinium carterae. RNAcentral describes it as "partial Eukaryotic small subunit ribosomal RNA". It matches the Rfam family "Eukaryotic small subunit ribosomal RNA", at positions 732 to 1130 of the family's 1831-position model. The record is from RNAcentral. Lineage: Eukaryota; Dinophyceae; Amphidiniales; Amphidiniaceae.